Molecule: unclassified non-coding RNA, 623 nt
Filed under: Hevea brasiliensis (rubber tree)
Lineage: Eukaryota; Viridiplantae; Streptophyta; Magnoliopsida; Malpighiales; Euphorbiaceae
Source: RNAcentral
AGAAUACAACAGUCUUUAAAGUUCAUAACUUUUGCUUGUUUUACAUUUUUUAACAUCCUUAUGUGAUAAAUCUGACUCUAGAAUACUUCAGACUUCAUGAAAUUGUAGGAAAACUAAAUCUUUUUCAUGGUAUGUGCAAAUGACCAGUAACAGUUUGUGGGAUUUAUAGAAAUAAAAGCAGACUAACUCAACUUAGUCAUACCAAAGGGUGACAUAUAAUAUAAAACUGUUUAGGAUGGUGGGGACUAUACUGGAUGAAAGAUUAUCAUCGCAAAUUCAUGAGGUGGUAACAUGUAAUUGUUGAGGUAAAUGAAACUGAAGAAAAUAAUAAUUGUAAGGUAUGAAGGUUUGAUUGAUCACUUUCUUAAGGCAAUAAUGCCUCCAAGUUUAAAAUAAAGCUUGCAAACUCUCAAAUAGAAUUUUGGUAAAAGGAAAACAAAAGAAGGAAGAGUUAAUGGGAAUUUCAUAUUUCUAUCUAUAAAGACUAAUAGUUGUGUCAAAAAAGAUCACCUGUAGCACACAUACCUGUCUUAGACAGUUGUCUUUGAAGAAAUGAAAUUAAAAAGAAUAACUGCCUCUAGCAAUUUUCUUCUACCAAUUUCCAAGAAGUAUAGUGCCAAGUG